CAGUCGCCACGGUAACACGUAGGGUGCGAGCGUUAAUCGGAAUUACUGGGCGUAAAGCGUGCGUAGGCGGUUCGUUAAGUCUGUUGUGAAAGCCCCGGGCUCAACCUGGGAAUGGCAAUGGAUACUGGCGAGCUAGAGUGUGUCAGAGGAUGGUGGAAUUCCCGGUGUAGCGGUGAAAUGCGUAGAGAUCGGGAGGAACAUCAGUGGCGAAGGCGGCCAUCUGGGACAACACUGACGCUGAGGCACGAAAGCGUGGGGAGCAAACAGGAUUAGAUACCCCCGUAGUCCCUGUCUCUUAUAC
RNAcentral lists this ribosomal RNA (301 nucleotides) under uncultured bacterium. Its description in RNAcentral is "partial 16S ribosomal RNA". It matches the Rfam family "Bacterial small subunit ribosomal RNA", at positions 509 to 807 of the family's 1533-position model. The record is from RNAcentral.